RNAcentral lists this ribosomal RNA (253 nucleotides) under uncultured bacterium. RNAcentral's name for it is "partial 16S ribosomal RNA". It matches the Rfam family "Bacterial small subunit ribosomal RNA", at positions 524 to 776 of the family's 1533-position model. The record is from RNAcentral.
UACAGAGGGUGCAAGCGUUGCUCGGAAUCAUUGGGCGUAAAGGGCAGGUAGGUGGUCUUAUUUGUCUGGGGUGAAAUCCCUGAGCUUAACUCAGGAAGUGCCUCAGAAACGGUAAGACUUGAGUGCUGGAGAGGGUCGUGGAAUUCCCGGUGUAGCGGUGAAAUGCGUAGAGAUCGGGAGGAACACCAGCGGCGAAGGCGGCGACCUGGACAGUGACUGACACUCAAAUGCGAAAGCGCGGGGAGCAAACAGG